UGCUGACGAGCGGCGGACGGGUGCGUAACACGUAGGAAUCUGCCCGGUAGUGGGGGAUAGCCCGGAGAAAUCCGGAUUAAUACCGCAUACGCCCUAAGGGGGAAAGAUGGCCUCUUCUUGAAAGCUAUCACUAUCGGAUGAGCCUGCGUCGGAUUAGCUGGUUGGUAGGGUAAAGGCCUACCAAGGCAACGAUCCGUAGCUGGUCUGAGAGGAUGAUCAGCCACACUGGGACUGAGACACGGCCCAGACUCCUACGGGAGGCAGCAGUGGGGAAUAUUGCACAAUGGGCGCAAGCCUGAUGCAGCCAUGCCGCGUGUGUGAAGAAGGCCUUAGGGUUGUAAAGCGCUUUCAGCGAGGAGGAAAGGUGUAAAGUUAAUACCUUUAUCCUGUGACGUUACUCGCAGAAGAAGCACCGGCUAACUCCGUGCCAGCAGCCGCGGUAAUACGGAGGGUGCGAGCGUUAAUCGGAAUUACUGGGCGUAAAGCGUGCGUAGGCGGCUAGUUAAGUUGGAUGUGAAAGCCCCGGGCUCAACCUGGGAACUGCAUCCAAAACUGGGUAGCUAGAGUGCGGAAGAGGAGUGUGGAAUUUCCUGUGUAGCGGUGAAAUGCGUAGAUAUAGGAAGGAACACCAGUGGCGAAGGCGACACUCUGGUCUGACACUGACGCUGAGGUACGAAAGCGUGGGGAGCAAACA
This 694-nucleotide ribosomal RNA is filed under the name uncultured Gammaproteobacteria bacterium. Its description in RNAcentral is "bacterial SSU rRNA". It matches the Rfam family "Bacterial small subunit ribosomal RNA", at positions 86 to 774 of the family's 1533-position model. The record is from RNAcentral. Lineage: Bacteria; Pseudomonadati; Pseudomonadota; Gammaproteobacteria.